Molecule: long non-coding RNA, 214 nt
Filed under: Mytilus galloprovincialis (Mediterranean mussel)
Lineage: Eukaryota; Metazoa; Mollusca; Bivalvia; Mytilida; Mytilidae
Source: RNAcentral
AAAACAUUGCAAAUGGCACACUUCCGGUUUUUGAAACUAAUUACGGAUCCGGACUUGGAAAAACCAUGAUAAUUUUCUGGAUUUCAUUUACGAUGUCAAAAAAAAAAAAAAAAAAAAAAAAAAAAAAAAAAAGAAUUCCGACCUACCAACCCUAUUUUUCAAAAUGAUGUUACCGGAAACACAUAUCUUUUUUUUUUAGGCCUUAUGAAAUUUC